This is a long non-coding RNA of Peromyscus leucopus (white-footed mouse), 2122 nucleotides long. RefSeq lists it as uncharacterized. NCBI's taxonomy places the organism in Eukaryota, Metazoa, Chordata, Mammalia, Rodentia, Cricetidae. The transcript has 4 exons. The record is from RefSeq and is a predicted model, not a curated record.
UCAGACGCUACAAUUCUUAAUUUGGUGUUUGAAGAUGUUGCAUCUCUGUAUGUGACCUGAGUGAUUCCGUGUUGUGGUUUCUCAUUCUCAUAUGGGAUAUCCCAUCUGGAAAUACCUCUUCUCAUAUAUAAUUGUGUGAUAUGACAAUUUAUCGCUGUGUUUGGUUCUCACAUACCACGAGUUUUAGGCAGGAGAUGAGGUGUGUUUCUGAAAUCACCUAUGCAGAAGUGAAAUUCAAGAAUGAAUCCAACUCCUCAGGCACCUACUCAGAUUCUGCUACAGCUCCCAAAAUGAAGCCCACCCCUCAUCUAAGUAAGCCUGGUGGUUGCCCCUCACUGUUGUUUAUAUCACUGAUGACACUUUUCCUCCUGUUGGCAAUCUCAUUUUUGGUUGCUUUUAUCUGGAAGUUUCAAAAUCACAUUGCAGUUGUAUGUGGAUACAGAAGUUAAAAGUUGUGGUCAUUUUUGGAAGGCAUCACAGCCAUGGAGAACCAUUGCAACAUUUCAAAUAGAGAAUUAAUGUAGGUGAAUUUAGAUUAUAGAUGGUGCUUUUGCAGGACUCAGAAAACAGAGUCACCAAGACAAUAAGAGAAAAAUGAGAAGGUCUAUUUCUAAUUUGAUAAUGAGAUAAGUGUCUGAAGAACAUGAGAUGAGGUGACUUUGAAUGGUAAAGAGCACAACACCAAGGAAGUAGAUGCUGAUGAAUGUAGAUAUCCAGGGAUUAAGGGGUCCAAGAAGUACAUUGUGACUUUCAUAUUCUGAUGAUGUAAAUUCAGCAACCAUGAAGUUAUUCAAAGAGGUAGACAAUAUAGGAUAAGUUAUAGGUUUAAGUUGGCACGUGUUGAUUUCAGUUUUGGGCAUACUGAGUUGAACCUAAUAUGUUUGUGUUUAGUGAGCACAAAUUCUAGCACAUACAGGCAGCAGGCAAGACCAUAGCAAUACAUGGCAUCACUGGGAAAGAUUUUGUAUGAGGAGGAAGCAUCGUGACAAGACUGUAGGAAGUGUUACAUUUUAAAGGGUGGAUGGAGGGAGAAGAGAUUAUAAAAAACAACAAGAAGUGACGGCAAAAAAUGGUGAUGCAAAACCAGGACGGAGCAAUGUGUUAAGAGCUGAGGAGGAGAACUAGAUUGAGUCCAAUAGCAAGAUGGCUAACUAAUUAUCCUGGGGUAUUAUUGACGAUCCAUUUCAAACUUGGUGUGAAUGAAAUGGAGGAAGCCAAAGUGGUGGGGUAAGGAGGACAAGACUCAGGGAGGAAAGAGAAGAAAUUCAGUUCUAGAGAGAAGCCAGUCAGCUGUAAACCAGGAGAGAGUGAGCAUGUGCGUGGAGGAGUAAUCUGGUUGAAAGGAAGAGGGUUUGAGAAACAAAACAAUGCUCCACAGAUGCAUGUUGAGUUCUUUUUUAUUUCACAUUCUAAAAUAACCUAGAGCUUCUCAGAAUUAGUUAACCCCCUUUCCUCCCAAAGCCAAGGCAGUUUACAUUCUUGAAUACAAAUAUCUCUGUCUGCUUCAUCUUCCCCAGGAGUUAGCGUUUUCAUCUCAUGUUAACAUGGAAGGGUAUGGCUCACUCCCUUUAGAGUCAUGGCAGUGGGCCUGCCUGCCUUUCAAAUCAUGGUCUUUCUGGAGUCCUGGAAGUACCUGUGGUUUCAAAUAGGAGGCUGAGGACUACAUUGACUGUGGGGUGAUGGGAAUCUUAGGCUCUGUCUACUUAGGUAAUCGGGACUUGGGCUGGAGAGAUGGCUCAGCCGUUAAAGGCUAGGCUCACAACCAAAAAUAUAAGUAAUCAGGACUUAGUAGAUCUGUGUAUCAGUAAGGAGAAAGUAGAAAGCCAUGAUUCUUUCAUGAAAUUUAGUGGUUUGGGUUCUGUUUUUUGUUUAUUUGUUGUUUGUUUUACAGUUUAUUAUCAAAAUACUCUCUACUUCUUGAAGAAAAAAAAAGCUAAAAAACGAUCUAACUUACAGAGAAUUGAACUGCACAAAAGACGAUUCACCCAUAGAAGGUUAGAUGAAGUUAAAGUUAGACGGAAUGUGCUUAAUUCCAGACAGUGAAAGCAGAAGCCCCAAAGGAAGCACGGAGAAGAGGCUGUGAGGCCAGGCCAGCCUUGCCUUAGCUGUGCAGGGGAGGGUC